GGAGAGGUGGCAGAGUGGUCGAAUGCGCGCGCUUGGAAAGCGCGUGAACCGCAAGGUUCCGGGGGUUCGAAUCCCUCCCUCUCCGCCA
This 88-nucleotide transfer RNA is filed under the name Lacunisphaera sp. RNAcentral describes it as "tRNA-Ser". It matches the Rfam family "tRNA". Rfam says of the family: Transfer RNA (tRNA) molecules are approximately 80 nucleotides in length. Their secondary structure includes four short double-helical elements and three loops (D, anti-codon, and T loops). The record is from RNAcentral. Lineage: Bacteria; Pseudomonadati; Verrucomicrobiota; Opitutia; Opitutales; Opitutaceae. RNAcentral also lists the same sequence under 3 other names.